Non-coding RNA from Heterocephalus glaber (naked mole-rat), 481 nucleotides. The record is from RefSeq and is a predicted model, not a curated record. NCBI's taxonomy places the organism in Eukaryota, Metazoa, Chordata, Mammalia, Rodentia, Bathyergidae.
GGUCAGAAGGCCGGACUCAAUUUUCUAGUCAAGACAGAAGACUGGAAACCAGUGCCCACUGACGGUGCAAUAAAGAAGCAGCAAUUUCUUCGGAGUCCUGGAUUCUUUUAUUGGAGAAUAAUAUUUGGAAACUGAGAUCUUGGUGCUCACUGCUAUUGAGAUUAUAGCUACUCACUUCCAUCAAAUAGAGCAACACAUGUGCAGGAAUAAAGAUCAUUCCCUGAAGUAAACCCUUCCUCCCACUCCAGCAGACUUCCCCUCAUAUAUCUUUGGUCAGAAAUGGAUCAUAUAACUACAGAAGAGCUAGGAACGACAACCUAAAAAGGAAAAAGAGAGCUAGCAACCAACAAUGUUGGCAACCACAUUCAUGAAGGAAGAAUCUUUUUUCUAUUUCCUGUCUUGGGAACAAAUAGCAUUUCAACUACAUAUUUUUCUUUUUUUUUUUAUUAGUAUAUGUUUGCUAUACAUAAACAUAUCAUAA